AAGAAUGUAAAAGUUGGUAGUUUAAGAAUUUUUUCAAAAAAUUAAAAGUUGUGUAAAUUUAUAAGAUUAGCUGAAAGGUCAUUUGAGUAUUUAUAAAUCGUUAGAUUUAGAUUUUUGGUAAGGCCAAUCUAAUAAGCAAGAAAAUUAUCUUGUACCAAGUUGGCACCCAACAAAUCAAGUGACUUUUGUAUGCGUAAAAUUAUAAUAUACUAGUGAAGGCUCGCGCUUCGCGGCGGGAAAUUUACCCAAUUCCUAAAAUAUUUUCAAAAUUUUAAUUUUUUUAAUUUUCAAAUCUAAUUUUAAAUUGUAAGCUUAGAGAGAAAUUAAAAAAAUUAUUUAAAUAUUAUUGCGGGUUAGGAUUUUCGGGGCCGGGUUUUGGAGUCUUGAUCGGGUUCGGAUUUGGAUAUGGAUUUGUAAAAUCCAUCGGAUUCGGAUUUAAAUUUUAAUUUAAAAUUAAAUUUUAGAUUUUAUUUAUUUAUUUAUUUUUUU
Molecule: long non-coding RNA, 489 nt
Filed under: Ananas comosus (pineapple)
Lineage: Eukaryota; Viridiplantae; Streptophyta; Magnoliopsida; Poales; Bromeliaceae
Description: long non-coding RNA (ACOM_LNC001133)
Source: RNAcentral